UUUCUGACUCAUCUAAUUAUUAUUCUCGUUUGUUAGGGAUUAUCCGGACCUUCCUCUUCGCCUGCUGUUGUUCAGUCAGUUUUCUCCAUGCGUCCAAACAUCUCUCUCUCCUCGACUCUGACUGUACUGUGGACAUCAGUCCUCGCAGGAUGUCCUCAGCUUGACACGUUUGCUCCAGAAUCCUCUGCUCUGGAGUCUUUGGCGUGCCGUAAUGACUACCGCUCUCAUAUCCGCUGCAGCUGGAGAGACGAUCCUCCUGUUCUUCUCUCUCUGCUCCACAUGGAUCCAGAUGACCACCGAGUAUCGCCCUGUGUUCCGACUCCUAACCCUUCCCAGAAUCCCACUGGGAUGGAGAGAGUUUAUUGUCAGUAUAACACAUCUCUGUUUGCCAUCGGCUUUGAUGACUUGUUCUUCUUCCACAUGGCACACUCUUCCGGCAUUUCCAGGACCUUCAGACUCACAAAAUUUGAAGAUGCAGAUCCAUACUGGAAUUUUUACCAGCUAGAUGACACUCCACCACCUUCACCUCUGACCUCUGACCCCUUCAGACAGCAUGACCAAGAGCGCUCACUGGAAAUUGACCAUGAAAUAAUCAAGGACAAAAAUGGCGGGAACAUUCACAACAAGUCAACACAGAAACAUGUGGAAGAUGGCGGGAAUAAAACUGAGGUCUUGGCUGACAGGCCAGAACUGAUAUCUGAGUACUCACUCCCUGGUCCAUCUAACCUAAACUGUAUGCUCAGUGACGGGAAUAAUUUGAGCUGUAGCUGGGAUCUCAAAACAGAUCUGGCCCAGUACAUCAGCUACACACUGUCCUACCGGACACACUCCACUGCACCGAACGAGUGGUGCUGUGUUGAGAAGGUGGAGGUCACAAAUAAAGGAGCUUUGUUGAGGAUGGUUGGUGUCUUCAGUGUCUUUGAGCCUGGAGUGCUGCAGGUGCAACUCACGCCAAUGCCGGUGACCAAAGUGAUCCGCUCUUACGAACACAGUUUGUACCUCUACAAAUAAAACCCCCUUUUAAAAAUACUUGCCAGGCUAAUCAGAAUCAAGUAUUCCAGAAAGCUGUUUAAUCAAAACCUCUACAGAUUCUCAGAGCUGUUAUUGAUCUGGUCUGUAUCGGUGGUUUUUGUGGUCUAGUCCAGCCUGCAUGUCCCGCGGGUCUGAGCGUUGAACUGAGAGGAGAAGACUGGAUUUUGAACUGGACUUUAACAAAGUAUCGUACUGUACCUCUCACUACUGAACUCAAGUACUUGAGCCUACUAACUCCUGUGAGUAUUAAAUAUAUAAGGGUGUUUUUUCAUCUUUUAAACUGGCAGGAAAAUCCCAGUA
RNAcentral lists this long non-coding RNA (1332 nucleotides) under Sinocyclocheilus anshuiensis. Its description in RNAcentral is "lncRNA (ENSSANG00000052317.1)". The record is from RNAcentral. Lineage: Eukaryota; Metazoa; Chordata; Actinopteri; Cypriniformes; Cyprinidae.